This 426-nucleotide ribosomal RNA is filed under the name uncultured Bacillota bacterium. RNAcentral's name for it is "bacterial SSU rRNA". It matches the Rfam family "Bacterial small subunit ribosomal RNA", at positions 356 to 774 of the family's 1533-position model. The record is from RNAcentral. Lineage: Bacteria; Bacillati; Bacillota.
AGGGAAUCUUCCACAAUGGGCGAAAGCCUGAUGGAGCAACGCCGCGUGAGUGAAGAAGGAUUUCGGUUCGUAAAACUCUGUUGUAAGGGAAGAACAAGUACAGUAGUAACUGGCUGUACCUUGACGGUACCUUAUUAGAAAGCCACGGCUAACUACGUGCCAGCAGCCGCGGUAAUACGUAGGUGGCAAGCGUUGUCCGGAAUUACUGGGUGUAAAGGAUGCGUAGGCGGAUAUGUAAGUCAGAUGUGAAACCCCCGGGCUUAACCCGGGGCAUGCAUUUGAGACUGCAUAUCUAGAGUGCAGGAGAGGAAAGCGGAAUUCCUAGUGUAGCGGUGAAAUGCGUAGAUAUUAGGAAGAACACCAGUGGCGAAGGCGGCUUUCUGGACUGUAACUGACGCUGAUGCAUGAAAGCGUGGGGAGCAAACA